UGGUUUGAUUCUGGCUCAGGACGAACGCUGGCGGCGUGCCUAACACAUGCAAGUCGAACGGAGCUCCGCCCUUCGGGACGGAACUUAGUGGCGAACGGGUGAGUAACGCGUGAAGAACCUGCCUUCCAGUGGGGGACAACAGUUGGAAACGACUGCUAAUACCGCAUGAUACUUUUGAGGGGCAUCCCUUGAAAGUCAAAGCUUUAAGUGCUGGAAGAUGGCUUCGCGUCUGAUUAGCUAGUUGGUGGGGUAACGGCCCACCAAGGCGACGAUCAGUAGCCGGUCUGAGAGGAUGAACGGCCACAUUGGGUCUGAGACACGGCCCAAACUCCUACGGGAGGCAGCAGUGGGGGAUAUUGGACAAUGGGGGGAACCCUGAUCCAGCGACGCCGCGUGAGUGAAGAAGUAUUUCGGUAUGUAAAGCUCUGUCAGCAGGGAAGAAAGAAAUGACGGUACCUGACCAAGAAGCCCCGGCUAACUACGUGCCAGCAGCCGCGGUAAUACGUAGGGGGCAAGCGUUAUCCGGAAUUACUGGGUGUAAAGGGAGCGUAGACGGUAGAGUAAGUCUGGAGUGAAAGGCGGGGGCCCAACCCCCGGACUGCUCUGGAAACUAUUCGACUAGAGUGCAGGAGAGGUAAGCGGAAUUCCUAGUGUAGCGGUGAAAUGCGUAGAUAUUAGGAGGAACACCAGUGGCGAAGGCGGCUUACUGGACUGUAACUGACGUUGAGGCUCGAAAGCGUGGGGAGCAAACAGGAUUAGAUACCCUGGUAGUCCACGCCGUAAACGAUGAUUACUAGGUGUCGGUGGGUAUGGACCCAUCGGUGCCGCAGCAAACGCAGUAAGUAAUCCACCUGGGGAGUACGUUCGCAAGAAUGAAACUCAAAGGAAUUGACGGGGACCCGCACAAGCGGUGGAGCAUGUGGUUUAAUCCGAAGCAACGCGAAGAACCUUACCAAGUCUUGACAUCUGGAUGACGAGGACUUAAUCGUCCUUUCUCUUCGGAGCAUCCAAGACAGGUGGUGCAUGGUUGUCGUCAGCUCGUGUCGUGAGAUGUUGGGUUAAGUCCCGCAACGAGCGCAACCCUUAUCUUCAGUAGCCAGCGAGUGAAGUCGGGCACUCUGGAGAGACUGCCGGGGAUAACCCGGAGGAAGGUGGGGAUGACGUCAAAUCAUCAUGCCCCUUAUGAUUUGGGCUACACACGUGCUACAAUGGCGUAAACAGAGGGAAGCGAGCCCGCGAGGGGGAGCGAAUCCCAAAAAUAACGUCCCAGUUCGGAUUGUAGUCUGCAACUCGACUACAUGAAGCUGGAAUCGCUAGUAAUCGCGGAUCAGAAUGCCGCGGUGAAUACGUUCCCGGGUCUUGUACACACCGCCCGUCACACCAUGGGAGUCGGAAAUGCCCGAAGUCUGUGACCCAACCGCAAGGAGGGAGCAGCCGAAGGCAGGUCGGAUGACUGGGGUGAAGUCGUAACAAGGUACCC
Molecule: ribosomal RNA, 1480 nt
Filed under: uncultured bacterium
Lineage: Bacteria
Description: bacterial SSU rRNA
Rfam family: Bacterial small subunit ribosomal RNA
Source: RNAcentral